GGGUUGUGAGGUUAAGCGACUAAGCGUACACGGUGGAUGCCCUGGCAGUCAGAGGCGAUGAAGGGCGUGCUAAUCUGCGAUAAGCGCCGGUAAGGUGAUAUGAACCGUUAUAACCGGCGAUACCCGAAUGGGGAAACCCAGUGUGAUUCGUCACACUAUCAUUAACUGAAUCCAUAGGUUAAUGAGGCGAACCGGGGGAACUGAAACAUCUAAGUACCCCGAGGAAAAGAAAUCAACCGAGAUUCCCCCAGUAGCGGCGAGCGAACGGGGAGGAGCCCAGAGCCUGAAUCAGCAUGUGUGUUAGUGGAAGCGUCUGGAAAGGCGCGCGAUACAGGGUGACAGCCCCGUACACAAAAGCGCAUGUGCUGUGAGCUCGAUGAGUAGGGCGGGACACGUGGUAUCCUGUCUGAAUAUGGGGGGACCAUCCUCCAAGGCUAAAUACUCCUGACUGACCGAUAGUGAACCAGUACCGUGAGGGAAAGGCGAAAAGAACCCCGGCGAGGGGAGUGAAAAAGAACCUGAAACCGUGUACGUACAAGCAGUGGGAGCACAGGUUUACCUGUGUGACUGCGUACCUUUUGUAUAAUGGGUCAGCGACUUAUAUUCUGUAGCAAGGUUAACCGUAUAGGGGAGCCGGAGGGAAACCGAGUCUUAACCGGGCGUUAAGUUGCAGGGUAUAGACCCGAAACCCGGUGAUCUAGCCAUGGGCAGGUUGAAGGUUGGGUAACACUAACUGGAGGACCGAACCGACUAAUGUUGAAAAAUUAGCGGAUGACCUGUGGCUGGGGGUGAAAGGCCAAUCAAACCGGGAGAUAGCUGGUUCUCCCCGAAAGCUAUUUAGGUAGCGCCUCGUGAAUUCAUCUCCGGGGGUAGAGCACUGUUUCGGCUAGGGGGCCAUCCCGGCUUACCAACCCGAUGCAAACUGCGAAUACCGGAGAAUGUUAUCACGGGAGACACACGGCGGGUGCUAACGUCCGUCGUGAAGAGGGAAACAACCCAGACCGCCAGCUAAGGUCCCAAAGUCAUGGUUAAGUGGGAAACGAUGUGGGAAGGCCCAGACAGCCAGGAUGUUGGCUUAGAAGCAGCCAUCAUUUAAAGAAAGCGUAAUAGCUCACUGGUCGAGUCGGCCUGCGCGGAAGAUGUAACGGGGCUAAACCAUGCACCGAAGCUGCGGCAGCGACGCUUAUGCGUUGUUGGGUAGGGGAGCGUUCUGUAAGCCUGUGAAGGUGUGUCUGUGAGGCAUGCUGGAGGUAUCAGAAGUGCGAAUGCUGACAUAAGUAACGAUAAAGCGGGUGAAAAGCCCGCUCGCCGGAAGACCAAGGGUUCCUGUCCAACGUUAAUCGGGGCAGGGUGAGUCGACCCCUAAGGCGAGGCCGAAAGGCGUAGUCGAUGGGAAACGGGUUAAUAUUCCCGUACUUGGUGUUACUGCGAAGGGGGGACGGAGAAGGCUAUGUUGGCCGGGCGACGGUUGUCCCGGUUUAAGCGUGUAGGCUGGUUUUCCAGGCAAAUCCGGAAAAUCAAGGCUGAGGCGUGACGACGAGGCACUACGGUGCUGAAGCAACAAAUGCCCUGCUUCCAGGAAAAGCCUCUAAGCAUCAGGUAACAUCAAAUCGUACCCCAAACCGACACAGGUGGUCAGGUAGAGAAUACCAAGGCGCUUGAGAGAACUCGGGUGAAGGAACUAGGCAAAAUGGUGCCGUAACUUCGGGAGAAGGCACGCUGACACGUAGGUGAAGUGAUUUACUCAUGGAGCUGAAGUCAGUCGAAGAUACCAGCUGGCUGCAACUGUUUAUUAAAAACACAGCACUGUGCAAACACGAAAGUGGACGUAUACGGUGUGACGCCUGCCCGGUGCCGGAAGGUUAAUUGAUGGGGUCAGCGCAAGCGAAGCUCCUGAUCGAAGCCCCGGUAAACGGCGGCCGUAACUAUAACGGUCCUAAGGUAGCGAAAUUCCUUGUCGGGUAAGUUCCGACCUGCACGAAUGGCGUAAUGAUGGCCAGGCUGUCUCCACCCGAGACUCAGUGAAAUUGAACUCGCUGUGAAGAUGCAGUGUACCCGCGGCAAGACGGAAAGACCCCGUGAACCUUUACUAUAGCUUGACACUGAACAUUGAGCCUUGAUGUGUAGGAUAGGUGGGAGGCUUUGAAGCGUGGACGCCAGUCUGCGUGGAGCCGACCUUGAAAUACCACCCUUUAAUGUUUGAUGUUCUAACGUGGACCCGUAAUCCGGGUUGCGGACAGUGUCUGGUGGGUAGUUUGACUGGGGCGGUCUCCUCCUAAAGAGUAACGGAGGAGCACGAAGGUUGGCUAAUCCUGGUCGGACAUCAGGAGGUUAGUGCAAUGGCAUAAGCCAGCUUGACUGCGAGCGUGACGGCGCGAGCAGGUGCGAAAGCAGGUCAUAGUGAUCCGGUGGUUCUGAAUGGAAGGGCCAUCGCUCAACGGAUAAAAGGUACUCCGGGGAUAACAGGCUGAUACCGCCCAAGAGUUCAUAUCGACGGCGGUGUUUGGCACCUCGAUGUCGGCUCAUCACAUCCUGGGGCUGAAGUAGGUCCCAAGGGUAUGGCUGUUCGCCAUUUAAAGUGGUACGCGAGCUGGGUUUAGAACGUCGUGAGACAGUUCGGUCCCUAUCUGCCGUGGGCGCUGGAGAACUGAGGGGGGCUGCUCCUAGUACGAGAGGACCGGAGUGGACGCAUCACUGGUGUUCGGGUUGUCAUGCCAAUGGCACUGCCCGGUAGCUAAAUGCGGAAGAGAUAAGUGCUGAAAGCAUCUAAGCACGAAACUUGCCCCGAGAUGAGUUCUCCCUGAGACUUAAAGUCUCCUGAAGGAACGUUGAAGACGACGACGUUGAUAGGCCGGGUGUGUAAGCGCAGCGAUGCGUUGAGCUAACCGGUACUAAUGAACCGUGAGGCUUAACCUUACAACGCCGAAG
RNAcentral lists this ribosomal RNA (2928 nucleotides) under Salmonella enterica subsp. enterica serovar Bareilly str. CFSAN001089. RNAcentral describes it as "bacterial LSU rRNA". It matches the Rfam family "Bacterial large subunit ribosomal RNA". Lineage: Bacteria; Pseudomonadati; Pseudomonadota; Gammaproteobacteria; Enterobacterales; Enterobacteriaceae. The record is from RNAcentral.